This 240-nucleotide unclassified non-coding RNA is filed under the name soil metagenome. RNAcentral describes it as "partial contains 5.8S ribosomal RNA, internal transcribed spacer 2, and large subunit ribosomal RNA". The record is from RNAcentral.
AAGACUAUAGACCUGCGGAGUACCUGCGGAAGGAUCAUUACCGAGUACCGGGGCCUUCGGGUUCCUACUCCCACCCUAUGUUGACUUUAAAUGUUGCUUUGGCGGACCGGUGGUCUCACCGCUGGCCUAGGCUGGAGAGCGUCCGCCAGAGGAUUUUAAACUCUGUUUAACGGUGAAUUCUGAGUCUUGAUAAAUUGAAUCAAAACUUUCAGCAACGGAUCUCUAGAUCGGAAGAGCACA